Molecule: ribosomal RNA, 481 nt
Filed under: uncultured bacterium
Lineage: Bacteria
Description: bacterial SSU rRNA
Rfam family: Bacterial small subunit ribosomal RNA
Source: RNAcentral
UAGUCCACGCUGUAAACGAUGUCUACUAGCCGUUGGUCUCCUUGAGGGGGCAGUGGCGCAGCUAACGCGAUAAGUAGACCGCCUGGGGAGUACGGCCGCAAGGUUAAAACUCAAAUGAAUUGACGGGGGCCCGCACAAGCGGUGGAGCAUGUGGUUUAAUUCGAUGCAACGCGAAGAACCUUACCAGGUCUUGACAUCCCGAGAAGUCGCUAGAGAUAGCUUCGUGCCUUCGGGAACUCGGUGACAGGUGCUGCAUGGCCGUCGUCAGCUCGUGUCGUGAGAUGUUGGGUUAAGUCCCGUAACGAGCGCAACCCCUAUCUUUAGUUGCCAGCAAGUAAUGUUGGGGACUCUAAAGAGACUGCCGGCGUAAGCCGCGAGGAAGGUGGGGAUGACGUCAAAUCAUCAUGGGCCUUUAUGCCUAGGGGCUACACACGUGCUACAAUGGCAGGUACAGAGGGUUGCGAACUCGCGAGGGUAAGCC